GGGGCUGACCGGUUUUGACAGGAGGCGGGUGUGGAUAUGCAGCAUGCAGGCUCAUGGAAUGAGAGCCUUAAAAGAUAGUUCCAACAAUUUAAUUGGCGAGACAAACUACGCCAUGGCUGCUUAAUCUGAUUUAGAAUCAGACAAGCUUAUUUCCCGAUAAGAUCGGGGAAAGCCAUCAUCGCCCGAUUGCUUGGUUCUGCGGCAACGGAUAAGCGGUGUCAUCAGCAAGGACAUGAAGUCGCGCGGUUGCGUCGCGGCUUCGAGAAAACAGCAACUAAGGAAAGAUUGAGGCUGCGAAUAGCCUUGUCGUUCACGAAAAAUAAAAUUCGCUAAGCAUGUAGCGGCUAUUUGCGCAACUUCUCUGGACCAGGGUUCGAUUCCCUGCAGCUCCACCU
Molecule: transfer-messenger RNA, 395 nt
Filed under: Candidatus Nephrothrix sp. EaCA
Lineage: Bacteria; Pseudomonadati; Bacteroidota; Cytophagia; Cytophagales; Cytophagaceae
Rfam family: transfer-messenger RNA
About the family: Bacterial tmRNA, also known as 10Sa RNA or SsrA, is named for its dual tRNA and mRNA-like properties. Its role is to liberate the mRNA from a stalled ribosome.
Source: RNAcentral